RNAcentral lists this ribosomal RNA (253 nucleotides) under uncultured bacterium. RNAcentral describes it as "partial 16S ribosomal RNA". It matches the Rfam family "Bacterial small subunit ribosomal RNA", at positions 524 to 776 of the family's 1533-position model. The record is from RNAcentral.
UACGGAGGGGGCUAGCGUUGUUCGGAAAUACUGGGCGUAAAGCGCACGUAGGCGGCGCAGCAAGUCAGGGGUGAAAUCCCGGGGCUCAACCCCGGAACUGCCCUUGAAACUGCAGUGCUAGAAUCUUGGAGAGGCGAGUGGAAUUCCGAGUGUAGAGGUGAAAUUCGUAGAUAUUCGGAAGAACACCAGUGGCGAAGGCGACUCGCUGGACAAGUAUUGACGCUGAGGUGCGAAAGCGUGGGGAGCAAACAGG